RNAcentral lists this ribosomal RNA (399 nucleotides) under uncultured bacterium. RNAcentral describes it as "bacterial SSU rRNA". It matches the Rfam family "Bacterial small subunit ribosomal RNA", at positions 365 to 759 of the family's 1533-position model. The record is from RNAcentral.
UCCAUUGCGGGGCGAAGCCUGACCGCCUGCCGCGUGUGUGAAGAAGGUCUUCGGAUUGUAAAGCACUUUAAGUUGGGAGAAAGGGCAUUAACCUAAUACGUUAGUGUUUUGACGUUACCGACAGAAUAAGCACCGGCUAACUCUGUGCCAGCAGCCGCGGUAAUACAGAGGGUGCAAGCGUUAAUCGGAAUUACUGGGCGUAAAGCGUGCGCAGGCGGUUAUGUAAGACAGUUGUGAAAUCCCCGGGCUCAACCUGGGAAUUGCAUCUGUGACUGCAUAGCUAGAGUACGGUAGAGGGGGAUGGAAUUCCGCGUGUAGCAGUGAAGUGGGUAGAUAUGCGGAGGAACACCGAUGGCGAAGGCAAUCCCCUGGACCUGUACUGACGCUCAUGCACGAAAG